CUCACUCUGGGGAAAACCAGGAUGGAAAGAAAGUUGCCACCACCCAGAAUCUUCUGGCUCUGCAUCCUGUCUUCCUCUGUCAAGAUACCAGCAAUAUGCCUGAUAGGAGCUGUCCUCCAGUCUGGGUCUCUGGGUGAAAAGCCAAAGCCAGAUCAAUAACAGAAAUACAAGAUAAGCCCCAAUAAAAAGGCAACCGUCACUGA
Neofelis nebulosa (Clouded leopard) is the source of this 203-nucleotide long non-coding RNA. RefSeq lists it as uncharacterized. The record is from RefSeq and is a predicted model, not a curated record. NCBI's taxonomy places the organism in Eukaryota, Metazoa, Chordata, Mammalia, Carnivora, Felidae. The transcript is spliced from 2 exons.